Molecule: non-coding RNA, 983 nt
Organism: Microcebus murinus (gray mouse lemur)
Lineage: Eukaryota; Metazoa; Chordata; Mammalia; Primates; Cheirogaleidae
Source: RefSeq, a predicted model, not a curated record
GGGACACAGAGCUAUACCAAAAGCUAUUGUGAACAAUUGGGUUUUCGCAUAGAUUUGUCACAGAUUUCACACAGAGCAAAUCAAGAAACAGAUCUUCGGCAUCCCAAAAUCUCCUGGAGCCCCAUCUGAUGUCUAGCCUCUGACCCAAGGAAACCACUACCCUGACUUCUACCCCCACUGCUCAAUUUUGCUUGAUGCUUCAGUUUCCAUAAAGGAAAUCACUGAGGAUAAACUCUUCUGGACCUGGCUUCCUCCACUCAGUCUUUUUCUUGAGAUUCCCCAUUUGUUGCACAUUGUGCAUCCUUUACCCAAAUUUCUAUACAUUAUGCCGUUGUGUGAAUACAGAGAAAUAGAUUUACCCAUGCAACUGUGCACAUUUUGGCUUCUUCCAGUUUGGGGCUGCUAAGAACAUCUGUGCACCUUUCUUUUUGGGGACACACUUGGGAAUUUCUUUUUGGUGUAUCCCCAACAGUGAGAUUCCUAAGCCAUCAGGUGCGCAUGAUUACUGCCAAACAUCUUUCCAUCAAUUGAAACUGCUACUAACAGCUGCCCUACAUCCCUGCCUUUAUUUUCCAUCAAUAUUUUAAUUAAAUCUUUAAAACCUUAUUUAUUUUGAUUCUCAUAAAAUACACAUAGCAAGAAAACCUCCUAGUGUAAGGCCCCAAACUAGCCUAACCAGCUUUUCGCUUCUGUAACCACGCUUGCUCUUAGGUAAUUAGGACCCCGGUAAUUAGGACCCUACCCUCUCCUUUUUCUUUGUUCUUUUGUUAAUUCUUCCCGUAAGUGCCGAUAGUUGUGCAACUGGUUGUACAAGAUAGGGUCGCUGGAAUUUCCCCACCCUAAACUCCCUGACCACCUGCGUGUGGUUUUGGCCCAUAAAAACCCUAAGCUUGAGAGCCUCGGCGCGGCAGCUUCCCCAUCUCGGUGAUGCUGCUAGCCCCUGCGCUGCGCUGGAAAUAAAUCCUCUUGCUCUCUUGCAUCAA